ACCCAGUCCGCGAGAACCGGCCAGAUCGC
RNAcentral lists this small RNA (29 nucleotides) under Bombyx mori (domestic silkworm). RNAcentral describes it as "ovarian small RNA-11259". The record is from RNAcentral. Lineage: Eukaryota; Metazoa; Arthropoda; Insecta; Lepidoptera; Bombycidae.